AGUGAACGCUGGCGGUAGGCCUAACACAUGCAAGUCGAACGGCAGCACAGUAAGAGCUUGCUCUUACGGGUGGCGAGUGGCGGACGGGUGAGGAAUACAUCGGAAUCUACUUUUUCGUGGGGGAUAACGUAGGGAAACUUACGCUAAUACCGCAUACGACCUACGGGUGAAAGCAGGGGAUCUUCGGACCUUGCGCGAUUGAAUGAGCCGAUGUCGGAUUAGCUAGUUGGCGGGGUAAAGGCCCACCAAGGCGACGAUCCGUAGCUGGUCUGAGAGGAUGAUCGGCCAAGCUGGAGCUGAGACACGGGCCAGACUCCAACGGGAGGCAGCAGAGGGAAAUAUGGGACAAUGGGCGCAAGCCUGAUCCAGCCAUACCGCGGGGGUGAAGAAGGCCUUCGGGUUGUAAAGCCCUUUUGUUGGGAAAGAAAAGCAGCAGGUUAACACCCCGCUGUUCUGACGGUACCCAAAGAAUAAGCACCGGCUAACUUCGU
Molecule: ribosomal RNA, 491 nt
Filed under: uncultured bacterium
Lineage: Bacteria
Description: partial 16S ribosomal RNA
Rfam family: Bacterial small subunit ribosomal RNA
Source: RNAcentral